Molecule: ribosomal RNA, 1536 nt
Filed under: Klebsiella pneumoniae
Lineage: Bacteria; Pseudomonadati; Pseudomonadota; Gammaproteobacteria; Enterobacterales; Enterobacteriaceae
Description: bacterial SSU rRNA
Rfam family: Bacterial small subunit ribosomal RNA
Source: RNAcentral
UUGAAGAGUUUGAUCAUGGCUCAGAUUGAACGCUGGCGGCAGGCCUAACACAUGCAAGUCGAGCGGUAGCACAGAGAGCUUGCUCUCGGGUGACGAGCGGCGGACGGGUGAGUAAUGUCUGGGAAACUGCCUGAUGGAGGGGGAUAACUACUGGAAACGGUAGCUAAUACCGCAUAACGUCGCAAGACCAAAGUGGGGGACCUUCGGGCCUCAUGCCAUCAGAUGUGCCCAGAUGGGAUUAGCUAGUAGGUGGGGUAACGGCUCACCUAGGCGACGAUCCCUAGCUGGUCUGAGAGGAUGACCAGCCACACUGGAACUGAGACACGGUCCAGACUCCUACGGGAGGCAGCAGUGGGGAAUAUUGCACAAUGGGCGCAAGCCUGAUGCAGCCAUGCCGCGUGUGUGAAGAAGGCCUUCGGGUUGUAAAGCACUUUCAGCGGGGAGGAAGGCGUUAAGGUUAAUAACCUUGGCGAUUGACGUUACCCGCAGAAGAAGCACCGGCUAACUCCGUGCCAGCAGCCGCGGUAAUACGGAGGGUGCAAGCGUUAAUCGGAAUUACUGGGCGUAAAGCGCACGCAGGCGGUCUGUCAAGUCGGAUGUGAAAUCCCCGGGCUCAACCUGGGAACUGCAUUCGAAACUGGCAGGCUAGAGUCUUGUAGAGGGGGGUAGAAUUCCAGGUGUAGCGGUGAAAUGCGUAGAGAUCUGGAGGAAUACCGGUGGCGAAGGCGGCCCCCUGGACAAAGACUGACGCUCAGGUGCGAAAGCGUGGGGAGCAAACAGGAUUAGAUACCCUGGUAGUCCACGCCGUAAACGAUGUCGAUUUGGAGGUUGUGCCCUUGAGGCGUGGCUUCCGGAGCUAACGCGUUAAAUCGACCGCCUGGGGAGUACGGCCGCAAGGUUAAAACUCAAAUGAAUUGACGGGGGCCCGCACAAGCGGUGGAGCAUGUGGUUUAAUUCGAUGCAACGCGAAGAACCUUACCUGGUCUUGACAUCCACAGAACUUAGCAGAGAUGCUUUGGUGCCUUCGGGAACUGUGAGACAGGUGCUGCAUGGCUGUCGUCAGCUCGUGUUGUGAAAUGUUGGGUUAAGUCCCGCAACGAGCGCAACCCUUAUCCUUUGUUGCCAGCGGUCCGGCCGGGAACUCAAAGGAGACUGCCAGUGAUAAACUGGAGGAAGGUGGGGAUGACGUCAAGUCAUCAUGGCCCUUACGACCAGGGCUACACACGUGCUACAAUGGCAUAUACAAAGAGAAGCGACCUCGCGAGAGCAAGCGGACCUCAUAAAGUAUGUCGUAGUCCGGAUUGGAGUCUGCAACUCGACUCCAUGAAGUCGGAAUCGCUAGUAAUCGUAGAUCAGAAUGCUACGGUGAAUACGUUCCCGGGCCUUGUACACACCGCCCGUCACACCAUGGGAGUGGGUUGCAAAAGAAGUAGGUAGCUUAACCUUCGGGAGGGCGCUUACCACUUUGUGAUUCAUGACUGGGGUGAAGUCGUAACAAGGUAACCGUAGGGGAACCUGCGGUUGGAUCACCUCCUU